AGACCGGACUCGUAAGUCCUGUGAUUGGUUGCUCUUACGUAAGUAGGUGAUACUCCGUCGGCAUUAUGCCCAUCUUCGGAUGUGAACGGUGAGAAUCGACCACCAGGGUGAGACGGUCA
RNAcentral lists this non-coding RNA (119 nucleotides) under unclassified sequences. RNAcentral describes it as "DUF3800-III RNA". It matches the Rfam family "DUF3800-III RNA". The record is from Rfam by way of RNAcentral.